GGCUUAACACAUGCAAGUCGAGCGGGGGAAGGUAGCUUGCUACCGGACCUAGCGGCGGACGGGUGAGUAAUGCUUAGGAAUCUGCCUAUUAGUGGGGGACAACAUCUCGAAAGGGAUGCUAAUACCGCAUACGUCCUACGGGAGAAAGCAGGGGAUCUUCGGACCUUGCGCUAAUAGAUGAGCCUAAGUCGGAUUAGCUAGUUGGUGGGGUAAAGGCCUACCAAGGCGACGAUCUGUAGCGGGUCUGAGAGGAUGAUCCGCCACACUGGGACUGAGACACGGCCCAGACUCCUACGGGAGGCAGCAGUGGGGAAUAUUGGACAAUGGGCGCAAGCCUGAUCCAGCCAUGCCGCGUGUGUGAAGAAGGCCUUAUGGUUGUAAAGCACUUUAAGCGAGGAGGAGGCUACUUUANAUAAUACCUAGAGAUAGUGGACGUUACUCGCAGAAUAAGCACCGGCUAACUCUGUGCCAGCAGCCNNNGUAANAAAAAA
This 491-nucleotide ribosomal RNA is filed under the name uncultured bacterium. RNAcentral describes it as "bacterial SSU rRNA". It matches the Rfam family "Bacterial small subunit ribosomal RNA", at positions 45 to 530 of the family's 1533-position model. The record is from RNAcentral.